GCGCCCGUAGCUCAGCUGGAUAGAGCGAUUGCCUCCGGAGCAAUAGGUCAGGGGUUCGAAUCCCUUCGGGCGCGCCA
This 77-nucleotide transfer RNA is filed under the name Burkholderiales bacterium. RNAcentral describes it as "tRNA-Arg". It matches the Rfam family "tRNA". Rfam says of the family: Transfer RNA (tRNA) molecules are approximately 80 nucleotides in length. Their secondary structure includes four short double-helical elements and three loops (D, anti-codon, and T loops). RNAcentral also lists the same sequence under 5 other names. Lineage: Bacteria; Pseudomonadati; Pseudomonadota; Betaproteobacteria; Burkholderiales. The record is from RNAcentral.